This 440-nucleotide ribosomal RNA is filed under the name uncultured bacterium. RNAcentral's name for it is "partial 16S ribosomal RNA". It matches the Rfam family "Bacterial small subunit ribosomal RNA", at positions 338 to 795 of the family's 1533-position model. The record is from RNAcentral.
CCUACGGGUGGCAGCAGUGGGGGAUAUUGCACAAUGGGGGAAACCCUGAUGCAGCGACGCCGCGUGAGUGAAGAAGCGCCUCGGCGCGUACAGCCCUGUCAGCAGGGAAGAAACUGACGGUACCUGAAGAAGAAGCCCCGGCUAACUACGUGCCAGCAGCCGCGGUAAUACGUAGGGGGCAAGCGUUAUCCGGAUUUACUGGGGGUAAAGGGGGCGCAGACGGCGAUGCAAGCCAGGAGUGAAAGCCCGUGGCCCAACCCCGGGACUGCUCUUGGAACUGCGUGGCUAGAGUGCAGGUGGGGCAGGCGGAAUUCCUGGUGUAGCGGUGAAAUGCGUAGAUAUCAGGAGGAACACCGGUGGCGAAGGCGGCCUGCUGGACUGCAACUGACGUUGAGGCCCGAAAGCGUGGGGAGCAAACAGGAUUAGAUACCCUGGUAGUC